UUGUUUGUUUUUUUGAAUUGUUAAGUUGUAAUUCACUUUUAUGUUCAUUCUUACAGUCAUGUUCUUAUGUUCUUUAGAUUGUUAUAUUACAUUUUGUUUAGUUGCAUUUACUUAGAUGUUGUCUUUAUUUUCCUGCAUUUACUCGUUAUGUUCUUCUGUUAGAUCUAUUAUGUUAUUUGCCUACUACCAAUGCAGUUUAACUGAUUUUACAUUGACUGAACAAGGUUGAUUUUAUUUAGGUCUAGUGAAAAUACUGAAGAAGUAUGACAAGAGAACAGGAGCACUUAUCAGGCAGCCCUUCAUCGAAAAGAAUGCGACGGACAAAAUGGAGUGCCAAAGCCGGCACAAUCAGGUGGGAGGGUUCCGGAGUUGGAGGAGAUUAAAUAUAUGCAGAGCUUAUACAUGAAGAGCACCGUAGCAGCGCUGCGGUCCUUGAAACAGAU
This is a long non-coding RNA of Zingiber officinale, 443 nucleotides long. RefSeq lists it as uncharacterized. The record is from RefSeq and is a predicted model, not a curated record. The transcript is spliced from 3 exons. NCBI's taxonomy places the organism in Eukaryota, Viridiplantae, Streptophyta, Magnoliopsida, Zingiberales, Zingiberaceae.